This 492-nucleotide ribosomal RNA is filed under the name uncultured bacterium. RNAcentral's name for it is "partial 16S ribosomal RNA". It matches the Rfam family "Bacterial small subunit ribosomal RNA", at positions 29 to 507 of the family's 1533-position model. The record is from RNAcentral.
AGUGAACGCUGGCGGUAGGCCUAACACAUGCAAGUCGAACGGCAGCACAGUAAGAGCUUGCUCUUACGGGUGGCGAGUGGCGGGCGGGUGAGGAAUACAUCGGAAUCUACUUUUUCGGGGGGGAUAACGUAGGGAAACUUACGAUAAUACAUCAUACGACCUACGGGUGAAAGAAGGGGGGCUUCGGACCUUGUGCGAUUGAAUGAGCCGAUGUCGGAUUCGCUAGUUGGGGGGGUAAAGGCCCACCAAGGCGGCGGUCCGUAGCUGGUCCGAGAGGAUGGACAGCCACACUGGAUGUGAGACACAGUCCAGACUCCUACAGUGGGCAACAGUGGGGAAUAUUGGACGAUGGGCGCAAGCCUGAUCCAGCCAUACCGCGUGGGUGAAGAAGGCCUUCGGGUUGUAAAGCCCUGUUGUUGGGAAAAAAAAGCAGCAGGUUAAUACCCCGCUGUUCUGACGGUACCCAAAGAGUAAGCACCGGCUAACUACGUG